Mauremys reevesii (Reeves's turtle) is the source of this 305-nucleotide long non-coding RNA. RefSeq lists it as uncharacterized. The record is from RefSeq and is a predicted model, not a curated record. The transcript is spliced from 4 exons. Lineage: Eukaryota; Metazoa; Chordata; Testudines; Geoemydidae.
ACUUCAUGAAAGAGGAGUCUCAGGCUGGCUUGGCUGAAAGCUGCUGUCGAGAACUUUGGCACAUACUGGAGCACUCCAAAGGGGCAGUCCAUCCAGUCCUACUCAACUCGAAGGAUGGUGGUUGGUAUGAGGAGCACUGAAGGUGGCAGGAUUAAGAAGAGGGAGGGAUUCCCAAGGAAAAGAUUACAUGGCAUAUUUAUCCCCCAGGAAGUGACUGACCUUCUUACAAAACCAAAGCCAUUGCAUACAAUGAAAGAACUUUCCCACCGAGGUUCUCAGAUCAUUUUAGAAUAGAGGAACACAGG